GUUCGGACUAGAUUACUUACUGACUCCUAUUGCAAUUUCUUAUCCGCAAAACCCUCCCUUCCCAUAUCUUCCUCCAUGACAAGUUCUCAACAAGACACAAUCUCCUCUAAACAACCUACCCAACCCAUCCGUACACAUUCCAUGGUGCUUCGACCCCGUCCCAAAUAACCAUCCGCCCUCACUAGCACUAUCCUCACCAU
Molecule: long non-coding RNA, 200 nt
Filed under: Elaeis guineensis (African oil palm)
Lineage: Eukaryota; Viridiplantae; Streptophyta; Magnoliopsida; Arecales; Arecaceae
Description: long non-coding RNA (EGUI_LNC011695)
Source: RNAcentral